GGUUUAACAUACUCUGAGUUUAAUCCUGCGCUCUGAGUUGGUUGACUCAGAGUUCAGGGUUGAAAAGCAACUCUGGGUUUUCGGUUUCAGAACAGGUGAUCAGCGUUGGGUUAUUCAACUCUGAGUAUGUUCACUCUGGGUUGAGGGCGUGCCUGUUGACUAUGAAGAGCCAUCAUCAAUGGAUCUCUGAUAACAUGAUCAAACAUGGACCAAAAGCGUAGAUUCUAAUGAACGCGUAUGCCGAGCAGUUACCCAUUUUAACAAAUGGGUAACUGCUCCCGCGGCAGCGAGAGCGUGAGAGAGAGCUCGGCAGGAAAUAGCUGAACAAGUCAAUGCAAACAACCCGAGUUGCCCCAAGAGGACUUGGCAGCAAAUGAAGAUGAAGUACAAAAAUAUAGUUCAAACAGCAAAUCGAAAAAAAGCAGAGCCCCGGCAGACUGGAGGGGGUCCACCUCUGCAGCCCUCACAGAGGCUGAGGAGAUGGCCCUCAGCCAACAGAGUAUGCGUCCUGUGGCUGAGGGCAUCCCUGGGGGGAGCUCCUCUGAUCCCCCCCCACCCCCCAGGAUAGAAGUGCCUUUAUAAGAGUUACUGAUGGUGUCAUUGCCCUACUUGAACCAGAUGCCCUCACCAACCUCCAUGCAAUUGUAACAAUUCUUCACCUUCCACAGAUUAUUAAUAAUGUCUUGGUAAUUGCUGAACACAACCGUUAAUGUCAUUACAGGAAGAUGAUGGAGAACAUUGUCUGCGGCAUUCGAAAGGGAAGAGGAAAGGCCUAUUGAGGUUAACACCUUUUAAAAAUAACCUCUAAAAGUUGAUGAUAGCGUUGUACAAUUUAAAACUGACAUCUACUUUCUCUCAAACAGGAUGAAAUCGAAUCCAAUGAGAGGCCAUCCACUUCUAAAUCAGAGCUUACCUCUGUAAGAUUCUCCCUGGAAUUAUAAUGAAAAGCUCUACUUGGCAGUGUGAAAUCCAAUCUCAUAUUUUGCAUUCCUAUAGCUUCCAGUCAAAGACUUAUAUAAAAUCUAUCUAGAAAAGCAAAUACACAAAGCAGACUUGGAAAUGGACCACCUUAGGCAAAAGAUGCAAAAGGAUGCUUUGGAGUGUGUGUGUGUGUUAAAGUUAAAGGUGGGUGAGGUGCAAACUGGGAUACUGUUCCCUGCUCUAAAAACAUACCCAAUAUGAAUGACUUUUUUUGUGCUUUCAGGAAAUAAAGAAAUCCUCAUAAAAAGUAGAUUGUCUUUAUUAGAACACGGGCUGUGGUGGGACAAGUUAUUUUGUUGAACAGUUUACUCAAAGGGUUUUACUCCAGUGAACAAUGCAGACGAUUAUGCGGAGCAUGUGCAUGUAGAGAAGAAGCAUCUGGUUAAAAGCAGUACCAGGGUAUUUCCUGCCUUGCAUUCUUAAUAUGCUUUUCUUGACUUGCAGCAGUUAUAGGUGGUUA
Long non-coding RNA from Gadus chalcogrammus (walleye pollock), 1441 nucleotides. RefSeq lists it as uncharacterized. Lineage: Eukaryota; Metazoa; Chordata; Actinopteri; Gadiformes; Gadidae. The record is from RefSeq and is a predicted model, not a curated record. The transcript has 4 exons.